Molecule: ribosomal RNA, 434 nt
Filed under: uncultured bacterium
Lineage: Bacteria
Description: partial 16S ribosomal RNA
Rfam family: Bacterial small subunit ribosomal RNA
Source: RNAcentral
AGCGAACGCUGGCGGCAGGCCUAACACAUGCAAGUCGAACGAACCUUUCGGGGUUAGUGGCGGACGGGUGAGUAACACGUGGGAACGUGCCUUUAGGUUCGGAAUAACUCAGGGAAACUUGUGCUAAUACCGAAUGUGCCCUUCGGGGGAAAGAGUUAUCGCCUUUAGAGCGGCCCGCGUCUGAUUAGCUAGUUGGUUGAGGUAAUGGCUCACCAAGGCGACGAUCAGUAGCUGGUCUGAGAGGAUGAGCAGCCACAUUGGGUCUGAGACACGGCCCAAACUCCUACGGGAGGCAGCAGUGGGGAAUCUUGCGCAAUGGGCGAAAGCCUGACGCAGCCAUGCCGCGUGAAUGAUGAAGGUCUUAGGAUUGUAAAAUUCUUUCACCGGGGACGAUAAUGACGGUACCCGGAGAAGAAGCCCCGGCUAACUUCGUG